This is a long non-coding RNA of Penaeus monodon (black tiger shrimp), 307 nucleotides long. RefSeq lists it as uncharacterized. The record is from RefSeq and is a predicted model, not a curated record. The transcript is spliced from 3 exons. Lineage: Eukaryota; Metazoa; Arthropoda; Malacostraca; Decapoda; Penaeidae.
CCCACAGCAACAGAACAUGAUGUUUAUGGCUCAAAGUGGUAUGGCAGGAAGUGGUGUCCCAAAUCCUUUCUUUGCCAAUGGCAUGCCGCAGGCUGUCCCCACUUCCAUUCAGCUCUCAGCGGCCAACCCAUUUGCUCAGAAAGGCCCCAUGCAUCUCUUCUCUGCUCACUCUGACUUCAGCUACAGAUCCUUCUUCCAGGUACUCGUCUAAACCUGCUUGAGCAAAAAUUAUCUCCCGUUUUUGCAGUUCGUCUCCUGGAUGACCUCCAUUAUUGGCAUUGUUCUCUUCCCAGUCCCUCCUCAUCCC